AUGGCCGUGGACAGUUUCGGUUCUCGUGUUUUCGGAUCCGAUUAUACUUGUGUUUUCGCGUCGUGUGAAACCGUGAUUCAGUUGGUGUUUUGUGUGUUCCGUUUCUCAUCUAGUGGGACGAGUUUCUGGAAUUGUGUCGAUGAUUAUUCUGGAUUAUUCUGCCCAAUUAAGCUAUCUUCGUCAGGUUGUUUCAGUGACAGUGUUGUGAGUGCUUUCAGCCUGGCGUCGGGCAAUUGGAUAACCUACUGCUGAAUCUACUGCAUUGAGUUGCGUACUGCUGUUCUGAUCGGUAUGUAAUUUUAUUUUAAUUGUAGCUUUCUGAAUAGAUUAAGCUCGCAAUGGUUAAUUUAGUGCCGAAGUAAGGCGCUUUUAGUUGGAUCGGAAAGAGACUUCGACGGCGAGAGUAAAAAUCGUCGCUCCUCUGACGUAAAGGCGUAUCUAGAUUUCCGCAUGAGCCUCAGAACGCAUGGACUUAAAUGCAGAACAGGGCUCACGUGCAAAUUGAGAUACGCCCUCACGUCAGAAGGACAAUGGCGAAAUGACUAUAAUAAGUGGCCUUUUUGCUUUUUAUUAUUUCAAUUCAACGGUUGUAAACUCUAUUUUGCCAUUUUUAUAUCGUUUUUCAUGCGAUGAAUACUUCCAUUUUUUUAGCGCGUUUAAGUAGAGAGAGAGAAGUAAAUAAUCUUUCCAAGCUACCGCGUCACUUGCUAAUUCGCCCACUUCAGUGGAGAGGCGUGAUAAUCGACUAUCGAUAUCAUCCCAUUUUAAGCUACGGUAAAGAAUCGAUUAUAAUCGAGU
This 798-nucleotide long non-coding RNA is filed under the name Bemisia tabaci. RNAcentral describes it as "lncRNA ENSSSA1UGG008336". Lineage: Eukaryota; Metazoa; Arthropoda; Insecta; Hemiptera; Aleyrodidae. The record is from RNAcentral.